UACAGAGUGCGCUUUGGGAAGCGGCUCCUUACAUCAAACGGAGUGCACUUACAGUAUAAAGGGCGUAUCAAGCUAUUUGUGAUUGAACCUCCGUCAGAUCAACAAGUUAACACACUGCGUGUAGACAAACGCUGUUAACAGGACGAAAUGCAAAUAGUAACUGGAGAUUAUUUUAAACAGUGCAAACGAGCGUGAAUGAAAUCCGCCUCACAUCCGUCUGAAGAGGAACUAAUCGCAGCUUGCAUUUCUCCGCUGUGGUGAAUCCCUUGGGCAGGUCCACGUACUGUCCCCAUUCCUCCGAGAACACCUGGAUGAGGAAUUUGCGGUGAACGUCAAUCUGAGGGCCGUAAAUGGAGAGAAACUUCUGGACGAGCACUUCAUAGCCGGAGUUCAGAGGCACAGAGGACGGCCGCGAAAACACGGAAAACGAGAAUAAAACGUGGACGUGAGCGCUGCUGGUGUCCGCCAUGAUGAGCCGAGCUGAGGACAGACUGCCGACUGCUGCUGCUGGGGUUCAGCGCUCGGAGAUUUAUAUAUCUGUCUACACAUGACCUACAUCAGCUCUGACCUCCAGAUGGUGCUCAGUAGUAAAAAUCUGGGAGACUAUAUAUCAGGCGCGCGUGCGUGUGUGUGUGCGCGCGCGCACUCAGAAAACUUGAAAGGCUUACUUAGUCUCUUUCUUUGUUGUUUUGCAUUAUUGGUACUGUUUUGUGCAUCAAAAUAAAAUAACCUAAAAUAAA
Long non-coding RNA from Clarias gariepinus (North African catfish), 740 nucleotides. RefSeq lists it as uncharacterized. The transcript has 2 exons. Lineage: Eukaryota; Metazoa; Chordata; Actinopteri; Siluriformes; Clariidae. The record is from RefSeq and is a predicted model, not a curated record.